Molecule: ribosomal RNA, 499 nt
Filed under: uncultured bacterium
Lineage: Bacteria
Description: partial 16S ribosomal RNA
Rfam family: Bacterial small subunit ribosomal RNA
Source: RNAcentral
AUUGAACGCUGGCGGCAGGCCUAACACAUGCAAGUCGAACGGUAGCACAGAGAGCUUGCUCUCGGGUGACGAGUGGCGGACGGGUGAGUAACGUCUGGGAAACUGCCCGAUGGAGGGGGAUAACUACUGGAAACGGUAGCUAAUACCGCAUAACGUCGCAAGACCAAAGUGGGGGACCUUCGGGCCUCACACCAUCGGAUGUGCCCAGAUGGGAUUAGCUAGUAGGUGGGGUAAUGGCUCACCUAGGCGACGAUCCCUAGCUGGUCUGAGAGGAUGACCAGCCACACUGGAACUGAGACACGGUCCAGACUCCUACGGGAGGCAGCAGUGGGGAAUUUUGGACAAUGGGGGCAACACUGAUCCAGCAACGCCGCGUGAAGGAUGAAGGUCUUCGGAUCGUAAACUUCUUUUAUAGGGGACGAAUGAGCCAUUGAAUAAAUGGAAAUGACGGUACCCUGUGAAUAAGCCACGGCUAACUUCGCGCCAGCCGCCGCAGUAA